GACGAACGCUGGCGGCGUGCUUAACACAUGCAAGUCGAACGGAAAGGCCCUGCGUUUGUGGGGUGCUCGAGUGGCGAACGGGUGAGUAACACGUGAGUAACCUGCCCUUGACUUUGGGAUAACUUUAGGAAACUGGGGAUAAAACAGGAUAGGAGCUCCUGCUGCGUGGGGGGGGUUGGAAAGUUUCGGCGGUGGGGGAUGGACUCGAGGCUUAUGAGCUUGUUGGGGGGGUAGUGGCUUACAACGGCUUUGACGGGUAGCAGGCCUGAGAGGGUGACCGGCCACAUUGGGACUGCGAUACGGCCCAGACUCCUACGGGAGGCAGCAGUGGGGAAUAUUGCACAAUGGGCGGAAGCCUGAUGCAGCAACGCCGCGUGCGGGAUGACGGCCUUCGGGUUGUAAACCGCUUUCGCCUGUGACGAAGCGUGAGUGACGGUAAUGGGUAAAGAAGCAACGGCUAACUACGUG
RNAcentral lists this ribosomal RNA (468 nucleotides) under uncultured bacterium. RNAcentral's name for it is "partial 16S ribosomal RNA". It matches the Rfam family "Bacterial small subunit ribosomal RNA", at positions 28 to 507 of the family's 1533-position model. The record is from RNAcentral.